Molecule: ribosomal RNA, 373 nt
Filed under: uncultured organism
Description: bacterial SSU rRNA
Rfam family: Bacterial small subunit ribosomal RNA
Source: RNAcentral
CGUAGGAGACGAGCGUUAUCCGGAUUUACUGGGCGUAAAGCGUGUGCAGGCGGUUCGGCAAGUUGGAUGUGAAAUCUCCCGGCUCAACUGGGAGGGGUCGUUCAAUACUACCGAACUUGAGGUCAUCAGAGGAAGGUGGAAUUCCGGGUGUAGUGGUGAAAUGCGUAGAUAUCCGGAGGAACACCAGUGGCGAAGGCGGCCUUCUGGGAUGAUCCUGACGCUCAGACAUGAAAGCUAGGGGGAGCGAACGGGAUUAGAGACCCCGGUAGUCCUAGCUGUAACCGAUGUAGACUUGGCGUCGGAGGGUUCAAAACCUUCGGUGUCGUAGCUAACGCGAUAAGUCUACCGCCUGGGGACUACGGCCGCAAGGUUA